Molecule: small RNA, 1838 nt
Filed under: Pan troglodytes (chimpanzee)
Lineage: Eukaryota; Metazoa; Chordata; Mammalia; Primates; Hominidae
Description: retained intron
Source: RNAcentral
CGGCGUCUUAAGCGGCGCCCAGUGCAGGAUGGUGCUGGAGGCGGCGGCGGCCGUGGUGGCGGUAGCGUCGUUGGCGGCAGCGGGAGUGGGUGCGGCGGCAGCGGCGGCGGCGCCCGCGGGUGGUAUAAAAUGGCGGAUUUCGAAGAGUUGAGGAAUAUGGUUUCUAGUUUUAGGGUUUCUGAACUACAAGUAUUACUAGGCUUUGCUGGACGGAAUAAAAGUGGACGCAAGCAUGACCUCCUGAUGAGGGCGCUGCAUUUAUUGAAGAGCGGCUGCAGCCCUGCGGUUCAGAUUAAAAUCCGAGAAUUGUAUAGACGCCGAUAUCCACGAACUCUUGAAGGACUUUCUGAUUUAUCCACAAUCAAAUCAUCAGUUUUCAGUUUGGAUGGUGGCUCAUCACCUGUAGAACCUGACUUGGCCGUGGCUGGAAUCCACUCGUUGCCUUCCACUUCAGUUACACCUCACUCACCAUCCUCUCCUGUUGGUUCUGUGCUGCUUCAAGAUACUAAGCCCACAUUUGAGAUGCAGCAGCCAUCUCCCCCAAUUCCUCCUGUCCAUCCUGAUGUGCAGUUAAAAAAUCUGCCCUUUUAUGAUGUCCUUGAUGUUCUCAUCAAGCCCACGAGUUUAGUUCAAAGCAGUAUUCAGCGAUUUCAAGAGAAGUUUUUUAUUUUUGCUUUGACACCUCAACAAGUUAGAGAGAUAUGCAUAUCCAGGGAUUUUUUGCCAGGUGGUAGGAGAGAUUAUACAGUCCAAGUUCAGUUGAGACUUUGCCUGGCAGAGACAAGUUGCCCUCAAGAAGAUAACUAUCCAAAUAGUCUAUGUAUAAAAGUAAAUGGGAAGCUAUUUCCUUUGCCUGGCUAUGCACCACCGCCUAAAAAUGGGAUUGAACAGAAGCGCCCUGGACGCCCCUUGAAUAUUACAUCUUUAGUUAGGUUAUCUUCAGCUGUGCCAAACCAAAUUUCCAUUUCUUGGGCAUCAGAAAUUGGGAAGAAUUACUCUAUGUCUGUAUAUCUUGUACGGCAGCUUACAUCAGCCAUGUUAUUACAGAGAUUAAAAAUGAAAGGUAUUAGAAACCCUGAUCAUUCCAGAGCACUAAUUAAAGAAAAACUUACUGCAGAUCCUGAUAGUGAAAUUGCUACAACUAGCCUUCGGGUAUCCUUGAUGUGCCCUUUAGGAAAAAUGAGGCUGACAAUCCCAUGCCGUGCAGUGACUUGUACACAUCUGCAGUGUUUUGAUGCUGCCCUUUAUCUACAAAUGAAUGAGAAGAAGCCCACCUGGAUUUGUCCUGUGUGUGACAAAAAAGCUGCCUAUGAAAGCCUAAUAUUAGAUGGGCUUUUUAUGGAAAUUCUCAAUGACUGUUCUGAUGUAGAUGAGAUCAAAUUCCAAGAAGAUGGUUCUUGGUGUCCAAUGAGACCGAAGAAAGAAGCUAUGAAAGUAUCCAGCCAACCGUGUACAAAAAUAGAAAGUUCAAGCGUCCUCAGUAAGCCUUGUUCAGUGACUGUAGCCAGUGAGGCAAGCAAGAAGAAAGUAGAUGUUAUUGAUCUUACAAUAGAAAGCUCUUCUGACGAAGAGGAAGACCCUCCUGCCAAAAGGAAAUGCAUCUUUAUGUCAGAAACACAAAGCAGCCCAACCAAAGGGUUUGUUAAUUUAUAGUUCACUAUUGUUCAUUACCCUUGCAACUAAUUGCUCUUGGAUAGAUUUAUAAAUGUCUCUUUGGGAAAUGGCAUAACUGUAGAAGGCUAUUUUAAUUUGCCUUUGUUGAGUUGAAAUAUUUUCGAGUAAGCACAUUGUUUAUAGGAAGCAAAUUUUGAUGGAGAAAAUAUUUACAUCUUUGGAAA